UCUCUGUUUCAACGUGGAUACUUGUGUCUUUCCAUGGAUAUGAUCCUCUCUUCUAAUCAACUAUAACAGGUUGCUGGUGGAAAUUCUUUUGGUGUGUCUGAGGACGUGGGAUUUGUUGGUGAGGAGAGAAGGGAAGCUAUAGAGAAUAAGUCUGUUGGUGUGUCUGAGCACGUUGAUGUUGUUGAAUGCGAGGACAGAAGAGAAGAAGUAAUUGAAAAGUCUGUUGAUGUCUCCGGGGACAAUGUUGAGACUGAGGUUUUAGAGGAUAAGUCUGUUUCUGGGGACCAUGAACCCAAAGAGGGUGACGAGAGUAGUGGUGAUAGUGAAGGAAGGUCUGAAGACGAGGAUCACCAAGAUGAAGCUAUGGACGAGGCAAACAAAGCAUGGCCGCCAGAGCUUUUUAAAUCCUCAAGAGGUGCUGAUGAACAACUGGUUGACGAUCAAGAGGGAAAUGCUACUGGUGGUGUGGCAAUUUCAGAAAAAAGUCCCU
Long non-coding RNA from Arabidopsis lyrata subsp. lyrata, 490 nucleotides. RefSeq lists it as uncharacterized. NCBI's taxonomy places the organism in Eukaryota, Viridiplantae, Streptophyta, Magnoliopsida, Brassicales, Brassicaceae. The record is from RefSeq and is a predicted model, not a curated record. The transcript has 3 exons.